RNAcentral lists this ribosomal RNA (253 nucleotides) under uncultured bacterium. Its description in RNAcentral is "partial 16S ribosomal RNA". It matches the Rfam family "Bacterial small subunit ribosomal RNA", at positions 524 to 776 of the family's 1533-position model. The record is from RNAcentral.
UACGUAGGGUGCGAGCGUUGUCCGGAUUUAUUGGGUUUAAAGGGUGCGUAGGCGGUCUUUUAAGUUAGUGUUCAAAUACGAUGGCUUAACCAUCGGCCGGGCAUUGAUACUGGGAGACUUGAGUUAGGUUAAGGCAGCUGGAAUUUGUGGUGUAGCGGUGAAAUGCUCAGAUACCACAAGGAACGCCGAUCGUGAAGACAGGCUGCAGGACCUUGACUGACGCUGAGGCACGAAAGUGCGGGGAGCAAACAGG